RNAcentral lists this ribosomal RNA (422 nucleotides) under uncultured archaeon. RNAcentral describes it as "bacterial SSU rRNA". It matches the Rfam family "Archaeal small subunit ribosomal RNA", at positions 459 to 881 of the family's 1478-position model. The record is from RNAcentral.
CAGCCGCCGCGGUAAAACCAGCACCUCAAGUGGUCAGGAUGAUUAUUGGGCCUAAAGCAUCCGUAGCCCGUCUUGUAAGUUUUCGGUUAAAUCCAUGCGCUUAACGUAUGGGCUGCCGGGAAUACUGCAUAACUAGGAAGUGGGAGAGGUAGACGGUACUCGGUAGGAAGGGGUAAAAUCCUUUGAUCUAUUGAUGACCACCUGUGGCGAAGGCGGUCUACCAGAACACGUUCGACGGUGAGGGAUGAAAGCUGGGGGAGCAAACCGGAUUAGAUACCCGGGUAGUCCCAGCUGUAAACUAUGCAAACUCAGUGAUGCGUUGGCUUAUGGCCAAUGCAGUGCUGCAGGGAAGCCGUUAAGUUUGCCGCCUGGGAAGUACGUACGCAAGUAUGAAACUUAAAGGAAUUGGCGGGGGAGCACCA